UUUGUAUUGAGCUGGACUUAAACGUGUAAACUAUACGAAAUGGCCACAUAUCAUUCUCAAAACUGAUUUGGAAGAGCUCUUCUUCUAAACAUAAAGCGUUCUUCUUCCCAAUUAUACCCACCAUUUUCAAGACUUUUGAAGCUGAGUUUUGACUUCCAAUUUUCUUUGUUUAGAAGAGGUAAGCGAAUUUUUUGUGUAAAUUCCUUCCUUUGACAUUUUUCUGUUAAGAGUUUUUUAAUUUCUUCCCCAAUUUUUGUCUAUGAAAUCUUAGGGUUAGGAAUGGCAAACAUCAAGUUGAAUUAGUUGUGCAUGGAUGAAAAUUGAUCCAACGCAUGCCGGUGGACGAUGCAAACAUGGGAUUUGUUGCAAACGCGAACUUUUUGGUCAGAUCGGAAUCCCGAAAGAUGAUUUUGGUCUUGUCCUCACUAUGAGGUAUGCUUUCAUGUUCUUAGCCUAUCGAUUAAUUUAAAAAUUAAUGUUGAUUGGGUCGUUAUUGUAUUCUUUAAAUUUUAGGCCAUGCAUUGCAAGUUUUUCAGAUGGAGAGAUAAGGAAAGAGUUGAUGAAAGAUUAAAUUUUAUUCUUACGAGAUUGGUAAACAAAAUCAAAUAGUUAGAAGAAAAUUACGAACGUCUUAAGCUGCAUUUGACAAGCUUGAAGAUUCAAAAUGGAAUGUUAAUUAGAAAGGGAAUAGUAUGAAGGAAAAAAUAGAAGAAACUUGUGUAGAAAAUUUAUUUAGUUUUUUAUGGUUUGUGUAACUAUUGUUUAUGUUACCAGCUUAAUCCAAGUUGGCAACUUGAAGGAAAAUCAAAUGGAGUUUCCAUAGUAGCUGAUUGUUGUAGUAAUAUAAGAUCAUUUUGGUAUUGAUGUCGGAUAGGGUAAGGUAGAUGUGGUUUGGUUGUCUACUUCAUUUUGUAUUGUAAUGAAACAUUAUUUUGAUAUUAUAAUGAAACAUUAUUUUGGUACUGUAUAAUAAUGGAUCAUUAUUGUGGUACCAUGGUAUCAUUUUCUGUGGAAAAAUAUUCUCUUGUUACCGUUUAAGCAAAUGUUGGCAGAAAAACAAGAAGCCUCUUGGCAACAGUUUCAUAACCCGAAUUUCCCACCUACAGGACUCAUGAUGGUGCCUAUUAAUGGGAUCUAGACAAGCCAAACUUAAA
This 1154-nucleotide long non-coding RNA is filed under the name Nicotiana benthamiana. RNAcentral describes it as "long non-coding RNA (NBEN_LNC017669)". The record is from RNAcentral. Lineage: Eukaryota; Viridiplantae; Streptophyta; Magnoliopsida; Solanales; Solanaceae.